This 476-nucleotide RNase P RNA is filed under the name Desulfamplus sp. RNAcentral's name for it is "RNase P RNA component class A". It matches the Rfam family "Bacterial RNase P class A". From Rfam's summary of the family: Ribonuclease P (RNase P) is a ubiquitous endoribonuclease, found in archaea, bacteria and eukarya as well as chloroplasts and mitochondria. Its best characterised activity is the generation of mature 5'-ends of tRNAs by cleaving the 5'-leader elements of precursor-tRNAs. The record is from RNAcentral. Lineage: Bacteria; Pseudomonadati; Thermodesulfobacteriota; Desulfobacteria; Desulfobacterales; Desulfobacteraceae.
AAAGCAGACCAGGCGGUCGCUGGAUUGAAAAAUCCGGAGGAAAGUCCGAACACCACAGGGCAGGACGCUCCAUAACGUGGAGGCACGGUGACGUGACGGAAAGUGCAGCAGAGAGCAGACCGCCCGUUGCUAUGAUGGUAAUUUUUCAUCAACUGAAAUAAUUGCCUUUGGCAGUGACAGAUAAGCGUUACUACAAGGACAAUUUUUUUCAUAAACUGAAUUAAUUGCCUUCGAUAGUGACGGGUAAGGGUGAAACGGUGCGGUAAGAGCGCACCAGUUUUCCAGGUGACUGGAAAAGCUUGGUAAACCCCGUCCGGUGCAAGACCAAAUAGGGAAGUGUUUGAGGGCUGCCCGUCCGAGCUUCCGGGUAGGUCGCAUGAGGUGUGCGGCAACGUACAUCCCAGAUGAAUGGUCGCCGCCCUGAUACAGGGUAACCUUGUCAGGGAACAGAAUUCGGCUUAUGGGCUGCUUUCACC